UUCAACGGCCGCGGUAUUUUAACCGUGCGAAGGUAGCGUAAUCACCUGUCUUUUAAAUGAAGACCUGUAUGAAUGGCAUAACGAGGGCUCAACUGUCUCCUCCUCUCAGUCAAUGAAAUUGAUCUCCCCGUGCAGAAGCGGGGCUUCCACCAUAAGACGAGAAGACCCUAUGAAGCUUUAGACACUAAGUACCCACACUUAAAACUCCCUCCCACCGGGAGAUAUUGAAACCUCUUACCUUACUCGUCUUUGGUUGGGGUGACCAUGGCGGAAACUAGCCUCCAAGAGGACCGAGGACAUUGUCUAUUGCAGCCAAGGCCUACACUCCUAAGCAACAGAACUUCUGACUAAAAUGAUCCGACCCCCGUCGAUCCGCGAACCAAGUUACCCUAGGGAUAACAGCGCAAUCC
RNAcentral lists this ribosomal RNA (410 nucleotides) under Sigmops longipinnis. RNAcentral describes it as "16S ribosomal RNA". It matches the Rfam family "Bacterial large subunit ribosomal RNA", at positions 1923 to 2488 of the family's 2925-position model. The record is from RNAcentral. Lineage: Eukaryota; Metazoa; Chordata; Actinopteri; Stomiiformes; Gonostomatidae.